UUGUUAUCAGCCACACCCUGCUUUGUUUGGAAAUGCAACUUUUCUGUGACGUGUAGGGGAGCGCGGGGCACAAAGUAACGCGGGGUAAAAAGUAACACAGACAUUUUAGAUAGUUGCAAAGGGUUAACUAUGAUGUACUUCCGGGCUUUUCACCACACUGUCGGCAGACAUCUUCCCGCCAUCUUUCGAGAAAGUUCGUCACAUAUUGGAUGAGAACGGAGGAGAAACUCUUUCGUCAGCAUUCAGGCCCUUUCCCAAGGCACCUCCAAGAAAAGAAGUUGCCAAGCCCAGAAAGAAGAUAAUAAGUGCCAUCCUCACAGACACUCCAGCCGUUGCAGAGGAAGAGGUUCGAAAGAGUAAAAAGACAGCCCCCAAGAACAGAAGCCUUGGUGUGAAAAAGCGAAGUAAAUCAAGUAAUUCAGUCGACUGCCUUGUGUGCGGGGAGGAAUUUACAUCCUCUGCACCUGGAGAGAAAUGGGUUAAAUGUGUCUUUUGUGAUGGGUGGUCACAUGAGUUAUGCACAGAGGGAAAUGAACAUUAUGUUUGUCACGUCUGUGAUGAAGAGUAAGUUGUAUUAAAGGGAUAGUUCACUCAAAAAUGAAAAGGAGCCAAUGAUUUACUCACCCUGAAGCCAUCCUAGGUGUAUGACAUUCUUCUUUCAGACUAAUACAAUUCAGGUUGUAUUUAAAAAAUGUCCUGGCUCUUUCAAGCUUUAUAAUGAGAGUUAAUGAGUACAUUUUUUUGGAAGUCCAUCAGAGCACAUUCAUCUGUGAUGGAAAAUAUACCCAUUCACUCCCAUUAUAAAGCUUGGAAGAGCCAGGACAUUUUUUAAUAUAACUCAGAUUAUAUUCGUCUGAAAGAAGAAUGUCAUAUACACCUAGGAUGACUAAAGGGUGAGUUAAUCAUGGGGAAAUUUUCAUUUUUGGGUGAACCAUCCCUUUAAUGAGUAAAGUUUCUAGGCUACACGUCGUACAGUGGUAUGUUGAAAAUGUUUCCACUUACUAUGUCAUGAAUAUUUGUUAGAUUUAUCAUUUAUUAGUACUGAUACAAAAUAAUCAGUUAUUCAAUUCAUUCAAAAUAUCAAUGUUAUACAGAAA
This is a long non-coding RNA of Megalobrama amblycephala (Wuchang bream), 1097 nucleotides long. RefSeq lists it as uncharacterized. The transcript is spliced from 2 exons. The record is from RefSeq and is a predicted model, not a curated record. Lineage: Eukaryota; Metazoa; Chordata; Actinopteri; Cypriniformes; Xenocyprididae.